GUGCAGCAGCCAUGGCUACAGCAAGACCCCCCUGGAUGUGGGUUCUCUGUGCUCUGAUCACAGCCUUGCUUCUGGGGGCUACAGAGCAUGUUCUCGCCAACAAUGAUGUCUCCUGUGACAACCCCUCUAACACCGUGCCCUCUGGGAGCAACCAGGACCCGGGAGCUGGGGCCGAGGAAGACGCCCGGUCGGAUGACAGCAGCAGCCGCAUCAUCAAUGGGUCCGACUGUGAUGAGCACACUCAGCCGUGGCAGGCUGCGCUGUUGCUAAGGCCCAACCAGCUCUACUGCGGGGCGGUGUUGGUGCAUCCACAGUGGCUGCUCACGGCCGCCCACUGCAGGAAAAAAGUUUUCAGAGUCCGUCUCGGCCACUACUCCCUGUCACCAGUUUAUGAAUCUGGGCAGCAGAUGUUCCAGGGGAUCAAAUCCAUCCCCCACCCUGGCUACUCCCACCCUAGCCAUUCUAAUGACCUCAUGCUCAUCAAACUGAACAGAAGAAUUCGUUCCACUAAAGAUGUCAGACCCAUCAACGUCUCCUCUCAUUGUCCCUCUGCUGGGACAAAGUGCUUGGUAUCUGGCUGGGGAACAACCAAGAGCCCCCAAGGUGAGUGUCCAGGUUCUUCUUGAUACCGACCCAUCUCUGCCGCCUUCCAUCUUUCUCCACCUCUCACUGUGUUCCUGUUUGACAGUGCACUUCCCUAAGGUCCUCCAGUGCUUGAACAUCAGUGUGCUAAGUCAGAAAAGGUGCAAGGAUGCCUACCCGAGACAGAUAGAUGACACCAUGUUCUGCGCCGGUGACAAAGCAGGUAGAGACUCCUGCCAGGGUGAUUCUGGGGGGCCUGUGGUCUGCAACGGCUCCCUGCAGGGACUCGUGUCCUGGGGAGAUUACCCAUGUGCCAAGCCCAACAGACCGGGUGUCUACACCAACCUCUGCAAGUUCACUAAGUGGAUCCAGGAAACCAUCCAGGCCAACUCCUGAGUCAUCCCAGGACUCAGCACACCAGCAUCCCCACCUGCUGCAGGGACAGCCCUGACACUCCUUUCAGAACCUCAUUACUUCCCAGAGAUGUUGAGAAUGUUCAUCUCUCCAGCCCCUGACCCCAUGUCUCCUGGACUCAGAGUCCGCUUCCCCCACAGUGGGCUGACCCUGUCUCUCUAGUUGAACCCUGGGAAUAAUUUCCAAAACUGUCCAGGGCGGGGGUUGCAUCUCAACCUCCCUGGGGCACUUUCAUCCUCAAGCUCAGGGCCCAUCCCUUCUCUGCAGCUCUGACCCAAAUUUAGUCCCAGAAAUAAACUGAGAAG
Molecule: small RNA, 1301 nt
Filed under: Pongo abelii (Sumatran orangutan)
Lineage: Eukaryota; Metazoa; Chordata; Mammalia; Primates; Hominidae
Description: retained intron
Source: RNAcentral